AUCCGAGUUCCUGUACGAUCAAUGAAGUUAAGCAACGUCGAGCCUGGUCAGUACCUAGAGAGGUGACCGCUUGGGAAUACCAAGUGUUGUAAG
Molecule: non-coding RNA, 93 nt
Organism: Acanthosepion pharaonis
Lineage: Eukaryota; Metazoa; Mollusca; Cephalopoda; Sepiida; Sepiidae
Source: the annotation of a GenBank genome assembly